RNAcentral lists this ribosomal RNA (253 nucleotides) under uncultured bacterium. RNAcentral's name for it is "partial 16S ribosomal RNA". It matches the Rfam family "Bacterial small subunit ribosomal RNA", at positions 524 to 776 of the family's 1533-position model. The record is from RNAcentral.
UACGUAGGGUGCGAGCGUUAAUCGGAAUUACUGGGCGUAAAGCGUGCGCAGGCGGUUUGCUAAGACCGAUGUGAAAUCCCCGGGCUCAACCUGGGAACUGCAUUUGUGACUGUAGAGCUGGAGUGCGGCAGAGGGGGAUGGAAUUCCGCGUGUAGCAGUGAAGUGCGUAGAUAUGCGGAGGAACACCGAUGGCGAAGGCAAUCCCCUGGGCCUGCACUGACGCUCAUGCACGAAAGCGUGGGGAGCAAACAGG